GUCCACCCUGUCUUCCACGUUUCGCAGCUGAAGCCAUUCACCCCCGACUAUACGCCGGUGUACGGCGAGCUGCCCAAGGUGCCGGACCUCUCCGUCGACACCCUCACACCUACGCGCAUUUUGGACAGGCGCAUGAUGAAGCAUGGCGACGCGUCGGUGGUGUAGCUCAAGGUGCAGUGGGGCACCGGCGACUCCGCGCCGACGACGUGGGAAGACUACGACGUGCUCCGCCACUGUUUCCCGUCAGCACCGCUCUGGACGAAAGUAGAGGACAACGACGACACUGAAAAAGAAGAAGACGUGUCUUAA
Molecule: ribosomal RNA, 309 nt
Filed under: Triticum aestivum (bread wheat)
Lineage: Eukaryota; Viridiplantae; Streptophyta; Magnoliopsida; Poales; Poaceae
Description: partial small subunit ribosomal RNA
Source: RNAcentral